This 490-nucleotide ribosomal RNA is filed under the name uncultured Terrimonas sp. RNAcentral's name for it is "bacterial SSU rRNA". It matches the Rfam family "Bacterial small subunit ribosomal RNA", at positions 8 to 490 of the family's 1533-position model. The record is from RNAcentral. Lineage: Bacteria; Pseudomonadati; Bacteroidota; Chitinophagia; Chitinophagales; Chitinophagaceae.
AGAGUUUGAUCCUGGCUCAGGAUGAACGCUAGCGGCAGGCUUAAUACAUGCAAGUCGAGGGGUAGCAUGAUUGUAGCAAUACAAUUGAUGACGACCGGCAAACGGGUGCGGAACACGUACACAACCUUCCUUCAAGUGGGGAAUAGCCCAGAGAAAUUUGGAUUAAUACCCCGUAACAUAACGAUAUGGCAUCAUAUUGUUAUUAUAGCUACGGCGCUUGUUGAUGGGUGUGCGGCUGAUUAGGUAGUUGGCGGGGUAACGGCCCACCAAGCCUUCGAUCAGUAGCUGAUGUGAGAGCAUGAUCAGCCACACGGGCACUGAGACACGGGCCCGACUCCUACGGGAGGCAGCAGUAAGGAAUAUUGGACAAUGGACGCAAGUCUGAUCCAGCCAUGCCGCGUGAAGGAUUAAGGUCCUCUGGAUUGUAAACUUCUUUUAUAGGGGACGAAAAAAGGGCAUUCUUGCUCACUGACGGUACCCUAGAAUAGAC